This is a long non-coding RNA of Strigops habroptila (Kakapo), 1340 nucleotides long. RefSeq lists it as uncharacterized. The record is from RefSeq and is a predicted model, not a curated record. NCBI's taxonomy places the organism in Eukaryota, Metazoa, Chordata, Aves, Psittaciformes, Psittacidae. The transcript is spliced from 2 exons.
GUGAGGAUCUAUUGUCCUCCAGCAAUAGAGGAUCUAUUGUCCUCUGUUUGUUCAGUGAUGUAACUCCUCUGAUCUCAAUAGAAGUGAAAUCAAAAUCAAGGCCCUGGUUUAUGAAAUUAUUAUGGGCAUCAACUUUUGUGCAAGUCUUCAGUAGUUUAUGUAAGAUGGAACCAGAUGAAAACAGCUUACAUUUUCCUAGUGGUCUGAUGGAAAAGAAUCAAUUCUAACAUAAAGAAUGCUACUGUCAAGGAGUGUAAGAAGACAUCUUUAAGUAGCUAAGGAAGAUAUUUCAUUUACCCGUUCUUUCAUUUCCUUCUUUCUAGACAUGUCCUGCUGAUGGUUUUUGAGAUGCUCUUUCUUUAUUUUCUGCUGUUCUAUUUGGUCAUGAUACAGGUCAGCAGAGGAUGGUCGCAGUCCCUGUGGAUGUACAAAUAAAUCCCAAAGCAAAGGAAUUUCUUCACUGCUCACUCAAUUGAGUCUCCCUGUCCCACUGAAGAGUGAAGAACAAUGGAGAGAAGGUGCCACUGCAUGAUAUAAGCAUGGCAAGAUAUUCACAAAUGUUUCCGUGGUGGAAACACUAUAUGGUAUAUGAGAAAAAUGCUGAAUUUUGCUUAUUUUUUUAAAUAAAUUAAAAAACAUGUAAGUAUCCCUUCCAUAGCUGAUAAAUACAAUAACUAUUACUCCCUGCUUUCCCUUUUAGAAACACUAAAACCAGGAUUAUCUACCUAUGGUAUAGUACAGAUCACAGUAGAAUAUAAAUUCCUAUCUAUAUAAGAAAAAAAUUUUCUACUGCCAAUAAUGUUCCAAGGAAGAGGUAACCUCAAAAAGUGUUUAUCUUACCCCUCACUGAACUAAGUUUUACAGUAUGGUAUCCAGAAGUAUGGCAAUCCCAAGCAAUAGGGAGUACAAAUCAGACCAUCUGAAUAAAUGUAAAAGGCUUGAGAACUAUGACCAGUGGAGCAGGUGCCCUGGUGACUCAGGCCAUGGGGAAGUCUGGGGUACUAAAUGCCUUUUUUGCCUCAGUCUUUACUAGCAAGACUGGCCUCCAGGGUGGGGAGUCUGAAGCAAGGAAGUUGUACCCUUGGUGUAGAAGUAUCAGAUUAGAGAAUACAUAAGCAGACUGUCUUGCCUUCUGAAGAUGAUUAAAUAUUAUGAGAAUGUGGAUGCACAGUACCUGAAAAACAGGCUGCUGCCCUCUUGAAGGAGGUUUCCAUUCAUUUCUCUGAAAUAAUUCUUGUUUCUUGACAGGCACCACCAUUCCAGAUUCUGGAGAAACUUGGUCCUGGACUCUCCUUUUUUGAAGUUUAUCUGCUUUUUAACAAUAAAGUAUGAAAAAGUUA